ACCUGGCUAGCUCAGUCGGUAGAGCAUGUGACUCUUGAUCUCAGGGUUGUGAGUUCAAGCCUCACACUGGGUU
Molecule: non-coding RNA, 73 nt
Organism: Lutra lutra (Eurasian river otter)
Lineage: Eukaryota; Metazoa; Chordata; Mammalia; Carnivora; Mustelidae
Source: the annotation of a RefSeq genome assembly